RNAcentral lists this ribosomal RNA (740 nucleotides) under Kukulcania hibernalis. RNAcentral's name for it is "eukaryotic LSU rRNA". It matches the Rfam family "Eukaryotic large subunit ribosomal RNA", at positions 354 to 900 of the family's 3401-position model. The record is from RNAcentral. Lineage: Eukaryota; Metazoa; Arthropoda; Arachnida; Araneae; Filistatidae.
CGAGGGAAAGUUGCAAAGAAAUUUGAAGAGAGAUUUGAAGAGUACGUGAAACUGAUCAGAGUUAAACGGGUGCGCUCUCGAAAUCCUGUGGCGGCGGGAUUCAGUCAGAAGAGGCGGAGGUGUUUGUCGGUUGAUCGAAACGGGAAAGGCGGCACGGUCUCCGCUUCGCCUGACGCAUUUCCUCCCGCACGAAGGACGCGCCGCAGCCGGUUGUGUAGCUGCGCGAUUCGGCCUUAAGGGCGAGCAACGGAAGGUGGCCGGUGGCGUCGCAUCCGCUUCGCCGCCGGUUGUUAGCCAGCUCGUCCGUGGCGCGACAACCGACCGAGGUCAGAAAGGUCCCUUUCCCGCGACUCGCCGCCUCACUCUCUGAGUGGCCGGCGCGUCGAGGCUGCCUGUGGCCCAAGAGAACCACGGCGGGUUCCGGCGGCUCGCGGCGAGUAGGUCGGUUACCCACUCGACCCGUCUUGAAACACGGAUCAAGGAGUCUAACAAGUGCGCGAGUCACGGGGUCUUCCUUAGGCCCAGAGGCGCAAUGAAAGUGAAGGUGGUCCUCGACGCCCACUGUGUGGGGACUCUCCGUCCGGUCACGGGUCACGGGCGGGGAAGUCCCAUCCGAAUCAACGGUUGGGCGGGGUCUGAGCGUACACGUUGGGACCCGAAAGAAGGUGAACCAUGCCUGGGCGGUACGAAGCCAGAGGAAAACCUGGUGGAGGUCCGUAGCGGUUCUGACAUGCAAAUCG